RNAcentral lists this ribosomal RNA (468 nucleotides) under uncultured bacterium. Its description in RNAcentral is "partial 16S ribosomal RNA". It matches the Rfam family "Bacterial small subunit ribosomal RNA", at positions 28 to 507 of the family's 1533-position model. The record is from RNAcentral.
GACGAACGCUGGCGGCGUGCUUAACACAUGCAAGUCGAACGGAAAGGCCCUGCUUUUGUGGUGUGCUCGAGUGGCGAACGGGUGAGUAACACGUGAGUAACCUGCCCUUGACUUUGGGAUAACUUCAGGAAACUAGGGCUAAUACCGGAUAGGAGCUCCUGCUGCACGGUGGGGGGUGGAAAGGUUCGGCGGUUGGGGAUGGACUCGCGGCUUAUCAGCUUGUUGGUGGGGUAGUGGCUUACCACGGCUGUGACGGGUAGCCGGCCUGAGAGGGUGACCGGGCACCUUGGGACUGCGGUACGCAGCAGACUGCAACGGGGCGCAGCAGUGGGGAAUAUGGCGCAAUGGGCGGGAGCCUAAGGCGAAAGCGCCGGGGGUGGGAAGUCGGCCUUCGGGUUGUAAACCGAGUUCGGUUGAGACGAAGAGUGAGUGACGGUACUGGGUAAAGAAGCACCGGCUAACUACGUG